GGACUACUGGGGUUUCUAAUCCUGUUUGCUCCCCACGCUUUCGCACCUCAGCGUCAGUAUUGGCCCAGGUCUCCGCCUUCGCCACUGGUGUUCCUCCCGAUAUCUACGAAUUUCACCUCUACACCGGGAAUUCCGAGACCCUCUUCCAUACUCAAGCUCGCCAGUUUCGUAUGCACUUCCGGGGUUGAGCCCCGGGCUUUCACAUUCGACUUAACGAGCCGCCUACGCGCGCUUUACGCCCAAUGAUUCCGAGCAACGUUUGCACCCUCCGUAUUACCGCGGCUGCUGGCAC
This 292-nucleotide ribosomal RNA is filed under the name uncultured bacterium. RNAcentral describes it as "partial 16S ribosomal RNA". The record is from RNAcentral.